Bison bison bison is the source of this 76-nucleotide small nucleolar RNA. Its record names the gene SNORD28. It matches the Rfam family "Small nucleolar RNA SNORD28". Rfam says of the family: U28 is a member of the C/D class of snoRNA which contain the C (UGAUGA) and D (CUGA) box motifs. Lineage: Eukaryota; Metazoa; Chordata; Mammalia; Artiodactyla; Bovidae. The record is from Ensembl.
GUCAGAUGAUUUGAAUUGAUAAUGCUGAUCCUCUGUGAGGUACCACAGUUAAUAGCAUGUUAGAGUUCUGAUGGCA